GGAAUUGUUCGCAAUGGGCGCAAGCCUGACGACGCAACGCCGCGUGGAGGAUGAAGGUCUUCGGAUUGUAAACUCCUGUUGAUCGGGACGAAAAGCUCCAACCCAAUACGUUGGAGACGGACGGUACCGGUUGAGGAAGCCACGGAUAACUAUGUGCCAGCAGCCGCGGUAAUACCGAGGUGGAAAGCGUUGUUCGGAAUUACUGGGCGUAAAGGGCGCGUAGGCGGCCUCCUAAGUCGGACGUGAAAGCCCCAGGCUUAAUCUGGGAACUGCGUCCGAUACUGGGAGGCUUGGAUUCGGGAGAGGGAUGUGGAAUUCCAGGUGUAGCGGUGAAAUGCGUAGAUAUCUGGAGGAACACCGGUGGCGAAGGCGGCAUCCUGGACCGAGAUCGACGCUGAGGCGCGAAAGCUAGGGGAGCAAAC
RNAcentral lists this ribosomal RNA (422 nucleotides) under uncultured bacterium. Its description in RNAcentral is "bacterial SSU rRNA". It matches the Rfam family "Bacterial small subunit ribosomal RNA", at positions 358 to 773 of the family's 1533-position model. The record is from RNAcentral.